GAUGAAGAACACAGUGAAAUGUGAUAAGUAAUGUGAAUUGCAGAAUUCAGUGAAUCAUUGAAUCUUUGAACGCACCUUGCACCUUUUGGUAUUCCAAAAGGUACACCUGUUUGAGUGUCAU
RNAcentral lists this ribosomal RNA (121 nucleotides) under Puccinia ferruginosa. RNAcentral's name for it is "partial 5.8S rRNA". It matches the Rfam family "5.8S ribosomal RNA", at positions 35 to 154 of the family's 154-position model. From Rfam's summary of the family: 5.8S ribosomal RNA (5.8S rRNA) is a component of the large subunit of the eukaryotic ribosome. It is transcribed by RNA polymerase I as part of the 45S precursor that also contains 18S and 28S rRNA. RNAcentral also lists the same sequence under 10 other names. Lineage: Eukaryota; Fungi; Basidiomycota; Pucciniomycetes; Pucciniales; Pucciniaceae. The record is from RNAcentral.